Long non-coding RNA from Magnolia sinica, 1695 nucleotides. RefSeq lists it as uncharacterized. The transcript is spliced from 7 exons. NCBI's taxonomy places the organism in Eukaryota, Viridiplantae, Streptophyta, Magnoliopsida, Magnoliales, Magnoliaceae. The record is from RefSeq and is a predicted model, not a curated record.
AAGAUUCUAUUCAUGGUUGUUAGCUGGGCACGCCUCUUCAAAAUUUUAGAGGGAUUUCAUUUUAUGCACUCAUGAAGAACUGGAAUUCCAUUAAGGAUGCUUGUUGUGCUUCUUGUUUUGGCAUGCUUGUUUGCAGAAAAUUGAAAGCCUACCUACCAAUUUGCAGCCCCAAAGAAAUCACCAAAGAAUAAACUGAUGUAUCGACUCACCAAUAGAAAGUUUCCCUAUGCAGGUAAGUUGUGUACACAUAUCCCUUUUUAUUUUCAAGCCAUUCCCUUGAUUUAUGCAAAACCAGGCUACCUAAAACUUAUGGACAACUCCCAUUGCCUUUGAACUACUAGAACUAGCAUGUGUGGAUUGGCAAAAGUGUGAAUGCACUUGCCUUAAAUGUUUCUAAGGUGCCUAGUUCUCUACAUGAAGUAAAUUUUUCUGAGGGAGUAUUGAAGAUCUCUGGAUAUUUAUUUGGUCAUUUUGAUACUUUCUCCCCAAAGGUAUGCAUGAUUCACAUCCACCUUGUAGAUGUAUUGAAGAAAUACUGUACGCAUGAUGUUUUGCAGGAAUCUAUUUAAUUCAUUUGAUAUAGCUAAGCAGGGUAGAGUCUCACUGGAUUUCAACCUGUUUGUUUACUGCAAUAUGGAUUUCAUCUCUUUUGCAUGUUCCUUCCUGCAACUUUUCUAGAACAAUAUUUCUAUUUUAUUUGCUAUAGAUUUUCUGUUAUUUCAGGUCCAGGAUGGCAAAAUUGAAGCUGAAGUUAAACUCACUGGAAUUCUCAACUUAGGAGUAUUGCAGCCUGUGGAAUCCAGAAAAUAUGGUACACCUAUUGCUCCUGGGUCAUAUGCACCAGUCCAUCAAUACUUCUUUGUUGCUCGUAUGGACAUGGCCAUUGAUUGUAGGCCUAGUGAAACAUUCAAUCAGUUGUAUGAUCACUACACCAAAAUCGAUUAUUAUUGCCAAUACAAUCUAUUUUCUAUGAGAUAGUAUAACCACUCCCAAUGGAUGGUUCGCCACACAAAAAAGGAUAUGCCUGUCCAUGAGCGAUUUUCAUCUAGAGACUUGGAACCCAAUGUGGUCUGUGGCAAGUUAAUUCUGGAAGCCCCUGUUGCUAUUAGCAAACACAAGUGGAAGGAGAAAUGCACCAAGUUUCAUCAUUCAAAGGGAAGGAGAAAUGUAAUCACAGAUACGAAAAGGUAAUCUACCAUCUAUCAGCGUUAUAUCCAAGGAAGUAGAAAUAAUAGUUGCUCUGUAUUUCUUUUGGACUGGGAGGAUGCAGGCUGUAGCUAUCUCGUAUUAAUAUUUUGGCAGCUUGCAAUGUUUGAGUAUCUGACACAAGCAAGUUUUGUAGUUUACAAUUUUAUUUUAUUUUUUUGUCUUCAAAAAAGAAAUGGUUAUUUUAGAUAGGUAAUCUGCCAUCUAUAUCUCCCUUACCAUUCGUAUCCCCACUUGGUCUAGAACGAGCCCCCCUCGGGUCAGGAGUGCAUCGAGCAUAUCCAAAAACCAAGUACAUAAAAGGCCAUCACAUUGUGGAGCUCUUCAUCUGCUUGACGGACUUUCAUUGAAUUGUCUUUUUAUUUUGAAGUCUUCCAUUGCAAAUUUUAGUUUUUACUUUCAGGUUUGCAAGUCAGAAAAAUAAUGUUUCAAAUUACAUCAUGGUUGUUUUUACUAUCUUUUGAUUCUUAAAUGAAUAUGGCUUAAAUA